UUUGGCAGGCUCUCGUGCGG
This 20-nucleotide unclassified non-coding RNA is filed under the name Chlamydomonas reinhardtii. Its description in RNAcentral is "small RNA Cre_4152". The record is from RNAcentral. Lineage: Eukaryota; Viridiplantae; Chlorophyta; Chlorophyceae; Chlamydomonadales; Chlamydomonadaceae.